GCGGCGUGCUUAACACAUGCAAGUCGAACGGAAAGGCCCUGCUUUUGUGGGGUGCUCGAGUGGCGAACGGGUGAGUAACACGUGAGUAACCUGCCCUUGACUUUGGGAUAACUUCAGGAAACUGGGGCUAAUACCGGAUAGGAGCUCCUGCUGCAUGGUGGGGGUUGGAAAGUUUCGGCGGUUGGGGAUGGACUCGCGGCUUAUCAGCUUGUUGGUGGGGUAGUGGCUUACCAAGGCUUUGACGGGUAGCCGGCCUGAGAGGGUGACCGGCCACAUUGGGACUGAGAUACGGCCCAGACUCCUACGGGAGGCAGCAGUGGGGAAUAUUGCACAAUGGGCGGAAGCCUGAUGCAGCAACGCCGCGUGCGGGAUGACGGCCUUCGGGUUGUAAACCGCUUUCGCCUGUGACGAAGCGUGAGUGACGGUAAUGGGUAAAGAAGCACCGGCUAACUACGUGCCAGCAGCCGCGGUGAUACGUAGGGUGCGAGCGUUGUCCGGAUUUAUUGGGCGUAAAGGGCUCGUAGGUGGUUGAUCGCGUCGGAAGUGUAAUCUUGGGGCUUAACCCUGAGCGUGCUUUCGAUACGGGUUGACUUGAGGAAGGUAGGGGAGAAUGGAAUUCCUGGUGGAGCGGUGGAAUGCGCAGAUAUCAGGAGGAACACCAGUGGCGAAGGCGGUUCUCUGGGCCUUUCCUGACGCUGAGGAGCGAAAGCGUGGGGAGCGAACAGGCUUAGAUACCCUGGUAGUCCACGCUGUAAACGGUGGGUACUAGGUGUGGGGUCCAUUCCACGGGUUCCGUGCCGUAGCUAACGCUUUAAGUACCCCGCCUGGGGAGUACGGCCGCAAGGCUAAAACUCAAAGGAAUUGACGGGGCCCCGCACAAGCGGCGGAGCAUGCGGAUUAAUUCGAUGCAACGCGUAGAACCUUACCUGGGUUUGACAUGGAUCGGGAGUGCUCAGAGAUGGGUGUGCCUCUUUUGGGGUCGGUUCACAGGUGGUGCAUGGCUGUCGUCAGCUCGUGUCGUGAGAUGUUGGGUUAAGUCCCGCAACGAGCGCAACCCUUGUUCACUGUUGCCAGCACGUUAUGGUGGGGACUCAGUGGAGACCGCCGGGGUCAACCCGGAGGAAGGUGGGGAUGACGUCAAGUCAUCAUGCCCCUUAUGUCCAGGGCUUCACGCAUGCUACAAUGGCUGGUACAGAGAGUGGCGAGCCUGUGAGGGUGAGCGAAUCUCGGAAAGCCGGUCUCAGUUCGGAUUGGGGUCUGCAACUCGACCUCAUGAAGUCGGAGUCGCUAGUAAUCGCAGAUCAGCAACGCUGCGGUGAAUACGUUCCCGGGGCUUGUACACACCGCCCGUCAAGUCAUGAAAGUUGGUAACACCCGAAGCCGGUGGCCUAACCGUUGUGGGGGAGCCGUCGAAGGUGGGACUGGUGAUUAGGACUAAG
RNAcentral lists this ribosomal RNA (1439 nucleotides) under uncultured organism. RNAcentral describes it as "16S ribosomal RNA". It matches the Rfam family "Bacterial small subunit ribosomal RNA". The record is from RNAcentral.